This 1005-nucleotide ribosomal RNA is filed under the name Heterodera avenae (cereal cyst nematode). RNAcentral's name for it is "eukaryotic LSU rRNA". The stretch from base 585 to 738 matches the Rfam family "5.8S ribosomal RNA". The record is from RNAcentral. Lineage: Eukaryota; Metazoa; Nematoda; Chromadorea; Rhabditida; Heteroderidae.
UCACCAUCUACCUGUGCUGUCCAGUUGAAACGUUGCUUGGCACCACCACAUGCCCCCGUCUGCUGACGGGCACACGGACCGGUCGAGAUGGUCUGUGGGCACGGGACAACACUGAGUGGACGGCUACCCUGCGAGCACUCUGUGCUUUGGGGUGUUCUCCGACGAUGGUGCUUGGUAUAUACUGACUCGUUGCUGAGCAAAGUGAAAAGCCUGAGGUUUGGCUGCGAAGCAAUCGAGUUGGUGGCGGACCGCCUUGCUGGUUGGUUUGCUGUACCGUCGUUGGACGAGCACGCUCGUUGGGUAACCCAACGGCUGUGCUGGUGUCUGUGCGUCGUUGAGCGGUUGUUGUGCCUGGCACAUGUGACACACUGGCCUGGGAAAGUGGUUCUUUCCUGGCCUUACGAACCGUAACUAGCGGUGUGUCUGUGCCUGUGUGCUACGUCCGUGGCCGUGAUGAGACGACGUGGUAGGGCCCGUGCUAUGCUUCUGCACGUGGCUUAAGACUCAAUGAGUGUCAGCUAGGCACCGCCAGUGUUUUUUUUCAUUUAUUUUUUUGACCACUUCUUUGUUGAAGAAAGAAAUUCUAGUCUUAUCGGUGGAUCACUCGGCUCGUGGAUCGAUGAAGAACGCAGCCAACUGCGAUAAUUAGUGCGAACUGCAGAAACCUUGAACACAAAACUUUCGAAUGCACAUUGCGCCAUUGGAGUUACAUCCAUUGGCACGCCUGGUUCAGGGUCGUUAUCAUAAAAGGCACUGCUGUGCCUGUUAUGUUGGUGAGAUCAUGUCGGCAUGACGUGUUCUUGCGCUAUUCUUGAAAAUGCUCGGCCGUGGAGUGUGGUUGUGUUGGCGCGAAACUGUCAGGUUCUUUCGCGUUUUACGGUCCGUAACUAGGACGCAACUGCUCGCCAUGUGUGCUGGGUGGAAUGCUUCGCUGGUAGGCAUUCCGUGUUUGAAUUUUCGACCUGAACUCAGACGUGAGUACCCGCUGAACUUAAGCAUAUCAUU